CUGUCUUGGCCUAUGCUUUUCAUGCUCCCCUGUGCUCACUUCUAACAGGGAAGUGUGGCAGGACACACAGCAAUCUCUCAGUUCAGGAGGGCCAUCCUAAGAACAGGGCAGACUCUUAAAGGCAAAGAGGACAAU
Non-coding RNA from Cynocephalus volans (Philippine flying lemur), 135 nucleotides. RefSeq annotates it as small Cajal body-specific RNA 11. The record is from RefSeq and is a predicted model, not a curated record. Lineage: Eukaryota; Metazoa; Chordata; Mammalia; Dermoptera; Cynocephalidae. The transcript has a single exon.